This 535-nucleotide ribosomal RNA is filed under the name Dermogenys collettei. Its description in RNAcentral is "partial 16S large subunit ribosomal RNA". It matches the Rfam family "Bacterial large subunit ribosomal RNA", at positions 1846 to 2586 of the family's 2925-position model. The record is from RNAcentral. Lineage: Eukaryota; Metazoa; Chordata; Actinopteri; Beloniformes; Zenarchopteridae.
UAAGAGGUCCCGCCUGCCCUGUGACACUAGUUUAACGGCCGCGGUAUUUUGACCGUGCAAAGGUAGCGCAAUCACUUGUCUCUUAAAUGGAGACCCGUAUGAAUGGCAUAACGAGGGCUCAACUGUCUCCUUUUUCCAGUCAAUGAAAUUGAUCCCCCCGUGCAGAAGCGGGGAUAUGAACAUAAGACGAGAAGACCCUAUGGAGCUUUAGACAACAAACAGACUAUGUAAAAAACCAAUAAAAGAUAAAACAAAUUAGCACCUGUUCAAAUGUCUUCGGUUGGGGCGACCGCGGGGAAAAAACUAACCCCCACGUGGAAAGAGAGAAUGCUCUUAUAACCCAGAUAAACACAUCCAAGCACCAGAACAUCUGACCAAAAAUGAUCCGGUAAUACCGAUUAACGAACCAAGUUACCCUAGGGAUAACAGCGCAAUCCUCUCUUAGAGUCCAUAUCGACGAGGGGGUUUACGACCUCGAUGUUGGAUCAGGACAUCCUAAUGGUGCAACCGCUAUUAAGGGUUCGUUUGUUCAACG